CCUACGGGCGGCAGCAGUGGGGAAUAUUGCACAAUGGACGCAACCCUGAACCAGCCACGCCGCGUGAGUGAAGACGGAACUCUUUAUUUAAAGCUCUAUUAGCAGGGGAGAAAAUGACGGUACCUGAGUCAGUAUGAACGUCUAACUACGUGACAGAAGCCGCGGUAAUACGCAGGCGGCAGGGGUUAUCCGGAUUUACUGGGUGUAAGGGGGGCGUAGGCGGCUGUGCAAGUCUGGAGUGAAAGGCGGGGGCUCAACCCCCGGAUUGCUGUUGAAACUGUUCGGUUGGAGUGUAGGAGAGGUAAGUGGAAUUCAUGGUGUAGCGGUGAAAUGCGUAGAGAUUAGGAGGAACACCAGUUGCGAAGGCAGCUUACCGGGCUAUAACUGACGUUGAGGCUCGAAAGCGUGGGGAGCAAACAGGAUUAGAUACCCCGGUAGUC
Molecule: ribosomal RNA, 440 nt
Filed under: uncultured bacterium
Lineage: Bacteria
Description: partial 16S ribosomal RNA
Rfam family: Bacterial small subunit ribosomal RNA
Source: RNAcentral